CCCGGCGACCGGCGCACGGGUGAGUAACACGUAUGCAACCUGGCCGCCACAGGGGGAUAACCCGCGGAAACGCGGCCUAAUACCCCGUGACGCCACCGGAGGGCAUCCUCCGGUGGCCAAAGGAGCGAUCCGGUGGCGGAUGGGCAUGCGGCGCAUUAGCUAGCCGGCGGGGUGACGGCCCACCGUGGCGACGAUGCGUAGGGGUUCUGAGAGGAAGGCCCCCCACACUGGGACUGAGACACGGCCCAGACUCCUACGGGAGGCAGCAG
This 269-nucleotide ribosomal RNA is filed under the name uncultured bacterium. RNAcentral describes it as "partial 16S ribosomal RNA". It matches the Rfam family "Bacterial small subunit ribosomal RNA", at positions 87 to 354 of the family's 1533-position model. The record is from RNAcentral.